This 26-nucleotide small RNA is filed under the name Bombyx mori (domestic silkworm). RNAcentral describes it as "ovarian small RNA-28967". Lineage: Eukaryota; Metazoa; Arthropoda; Insecta; Lepidoptera; Bombycidae. The record is from RNAcentral.
UCGGCGGUGAUGGCCCUGCAGGAAGC